CUUCAACCCCUGAAAUGCCUCCGUCAAAGCAGAUCCAGUCCUCAAACUGAUAAUCUCCUUAAAUUGGAUUGGUUUGAGGAGAGAUUGCUUGCUCAGCUCAGAUGGCAGUAGAUGGAUAGCCAUUGUGCUGAGAACUAUGUUGGGAGAGAUGUUCUCAGGACAUGUUCUCACUGGCAAAAAAGGGUUUUGGGAAAUAAUACCCAUGAUCCAGAUCUCACCUUGUUCGGAUCGCAAUCCCAUCUCAAGCCAUUUGCUCUUAUAUUCUUAAGUUCUACUUAUGAUUACACAUGGUGGGGCAGAAAAAGAAAAUCAUAAUAUAUAAUACAGAAAGUAACAAAAACUAUGCUCCCCUUCCCUAAAAUACUAUAUUAAAAAUCAUCCAAUGGAUUUAAAAGAUCCUCCAGCAUUCCUUUUACACUUAUGAUUUACUCCAAAUUAAUAUUUUUGCCUUUAGCUUUCAAUUUUCUAAUUUCAAUGUGAACCCAAUCAAAUAUCAUAUUCGAAAAUCUGUGUCCUUCUCAUUUCCACUCCAAUCUAUCAGAUCAAUACCAGUAUAUGUCAACUCUAUUGUGACUGUUUCAUUAAUUUGUAUAUUAAUUUAUUCAUUUGUCAGUGCUUUGACUGGAAAGUAUAAAUCAGUCACGACAUAAUAUAAACUCCUGACUCAGCUUAAUUAUUUCAUAUAGCGGUGUUGUUAACGUAAU
Stegostoma tigrinum is the source of this 704-nucleotide long non-coding RNA. RefSeq lists it as uncharacterized. Lineage: Eukaryota; Metazoa; Chordata; Chondrichthyes; Orectolobiformes; Stegostomatidae. The transcript has 3 exons. The record is from RefSeq and is a predicted model, not a curated record.